This 68-nucleotide transfer RNA is filed under the name Coleoptera sp. ACP-2013. RNAcentral describes it as "tRNA-Pro". The record is from RNAcentral. Lineage: Eukaryota; Metazoa; Arthropoda; Insecta; Coleoptera.
UCAGAGAAUAGUUUAUAAAAAUUUUAGUUUUGGAAAUUAAUGAUAAAGGAAUUGAUUCUUUUUCUCUG